Mus caroli (Ryukyu mouse) is the source of this 593-nucleotide non-coding RNA. Lineage: Eukaryota; Metazoa; Chordata; Mammalia; Rodentia; Muridae. The record is from RefSeq and is a predicted model, not a curated record.
UUGUCAAGCUGUGAGAAUGCUAUAAGCAAUGACUAAAAUGUUCCACUUGAGAAUAACACAAUGACACAGAUCUGAAAUCUCAGAACUAAAGAGUCAAAGCUUGAGGAAUCUGUCAUUUGAAGCCAGUCUACACAGUAAGCCCUUGGGCUCCACUGCCAAAGGAACUUGAUUGGCCUAUCAGUGGGAGUGCCUAUCACAACCUCUCCUUAAGUUCUCUCAGUACCAAGACAGCCUCCAGAUCCCUGUAGGAAUGACCCAACCAUAAAAAUGUACUCGCCUGGAAGCCAGAGUAUCAGCUUGCACCAGGUGAAGCAAAACCAGAACCUGCAAGCCUCAUGAACUUGGAAACCUACCAAAUCACUUCACUCGAUCAACCCAGUACUUGUAGGUGUCAAGAGUUCCAAUUAAGGGUCCAGCCCAACCACCAACCUGGCAGCAAGAAAGAAGGGUCCUUUGUAAGAAUGUACAGCUGGCCUUGUCACUAGCAGAAUCAAUGAUCCUGACAUUUGCCAAGCCCAGGACACUGAAUUACAAUAGAGUCAAUGGAAAGAGGCAUGUAUGAAAGACAUGGAUGCUUCUUAAAAACUGUGACA